AACGUAGGGGGCAAGCGUUGUCCGGAAUUAUUGGGCGUAAAGCGCGCGCAGGCGGUGAAUUAAGUCUGAUGUAAAAGCCCACGGCUCAACCGUGGAGGGACAUUGGAAACUGGGACACUUGAGUGCAGGAGAGGGGAGUGGAAUUCCACGUGUAGCGGUGAAAUGCGUAGAUAUGUGGAGGAACACCAGUGGCGAAGGCGGCUCUCUGGCCUGCAACUGACGCUGAGGCGCGAAAGCGUGGGGAGCGAACAGG
RNAcentral lists this ribosomal RNA (253 nucleotides) under uncultured bacterium. RNAcentral describes it as "partial 16S ribosomal RNA". It matches the Rfam family "Bacterial small subunit ribosomal RNA", at positions 524 to 776 of the family's 1533-position model. The record is from RNAcentral.